UCCGUUAUGGUGUAGUGGCUAACAUUAUCGCCUCUCAUAUUAUUCAGAUUGGUAGCUGAAGGACGCGAUAGCCCAGGGUUCGAUUCCCUGUAACGGAA
Non-coding RNA from Marasmius tenuissimus, 98 nucleotides. NCBI's taxonomy places the organism in Eukaryota, Fungi, Basidiomycota, Agaricomycetes, Agaricales, Marasmiaceae. The record is from the annotation of a GenBank genome assembly.